UUCGCCCUUCCUACGGGAGGCAGCAGUAGGGAAUAUUGGUCAAUGGGUGAGAGCCUGAACCAGCCAUGCCGCGUGCAGGAAGACGGCCUUCUGGGUUGUAAACUGCUUUUAUCUGGGGAUAAAAUGACCCGUGCGCGGUUAAUGAAGUACCAGANANANC
Molecule: ribosomal RNA, 160 nt
Filed under: uncultured bacterium
Lineage: Bacteria
Description: partial 16S ribosomal RNA
Rfam family: Bacterial small subunit ribosomal RNA
Source: RNAcentral